AUGGGAAUGGUCCAGCCUAGCCAACAGCCUCUGACACAACUCCCAACACCGAAUAACCACAACCCAAUGGUGAGGAAGAGAUCUUUGACAAUGCCUCUGAGGAGGAGAAGGGUGCCCACAAACGCCGGCAUUGUUCCCGUCGAAGAAUCAAGCUUUUGCCGAAAGCCUUAUGUCUCACCAUCUCUACAGACGCAGGGAGGGUGCCAAGCCACAAUGAACCUGCGAAAAGAAGAUGCGACUAAUCUUGUAUUCAUAAGAGGCGGAACCGAACCAAAUGAAUCAGGAGCAGGGGCGGAUCCACAGUUGGUCAUGGAUCAACAUAUGUGCAUCCAAAUUUUUUAG
Molecule: ribosomal RNA, 342 nt
Filed under: Triticum aestivum (bread wheat)
Lineage: Eukaryota; Viridiplantae; Streptophyta; Magnoliopsida; Poales; Poaceae
Description: partial small subunit ribosomal RNA
Source: RNAcentral